GGUCCUAUGGUGUAAUGGGCAGCAUUUCGGUACAUUUGGCUCAGGAGAGGCCUUGCGAGGGCCCCUGAGACAAAUGCUGAAGGUCCCAGUUCAAUCCUGGGUGGGGUCU
This is a non-coding RNA of Cercophora sp. LCS_1, 109 nucleotides long. Lineage: Eukaryota; Fungi; Ascomycota; Sordariomycetes; Sordariales; Lasiosphaeriaceae. The record is from the annotation of a GenBank genome assembly.